This 196-nucleotide microRNA precursor is filed under the name Oryza brachyantha (malo sina). Its description in RNAcentral is "MIR812 microRNA precursor family". It matches the Rfam family "MIR812 microRNA precursor family". Lineage: Eukaryota; Viridiplantae; Streptophyta; Magnoliopsida; Poales; Poaceae. The record is from Rfam by way of RNAcentral.
AAUAAACCAAUUUUUCACUUUUUACCUAUAAUUUUUUAUUCUUCGUCUUAUUUAAAUUUUUUUUACGAUUGAUAUUUUUGUUUUUAUUAGAUGAUAAAUUAUGAAUAGUACUUUAUGUGUGACUAAUUUUUUUUUAAUUUCCUAAAAAUUUUUCAAAUAAAACAAAACGGUCAAACGUUGAACACGAAUAUCAGAG